Molecule: unclassified non-coding RNA, 417 nt
Filed under: Hevea brasiliensis (rubber tree)
Lineage: Eukaryota; Viridiplantae; Streptophyta; Magnoliopsida; Malpighiales; Euphorbiaceae
Source: RNAcentral
GCAAAAUUGUUAUUUACCCUCCAAAGGGAAGUUUAUUUGAUCCUAAGGAGAACAUAAUCAUAGGUAAUGUGGCUCUUUAUGGUGCUACCAGUGGUGAGGCCUAUUUCAAUGGGAUGGCAGCCGAAAGGUUUUGUGUACGUAAUUCAGGGGCAAAGGCUGUUGUGGAGGGUGUUGGUGAUCAUGGAUGCGAAUAUAUGACUGGUGGCACUGUUGUCAUUCUUGGGAAAACUGGAAGAAAUUUUGCUGCUGGUAUGAGUGGAGGUGUUGCUUAUGUUCUUGACAUGGAUGGAGAAUUUGAAUCCCGAUGCAAUCUAGAGCUUGUGGAUCUUGAUAAAGUUGAAGAAGAGGAUGAUAUUUUGACUCUAAAAAUGAUGAUACAGCAGCAUCAGCGUCACACAUCAAGCAAUUUAGCCAAAG